CUUCUCUUCGUUCUCAGCGUUUUAAAGCACCGAGUAGAGCAGUACCCAGAGAAGGAGCUGAAGGGAGUAUCACAGAGAAGGGAAACAGAAACCACUGAAUGACUGGCUCGUUACUGGUGUCUUCAUAACAUUCAUCCAGAUCAAUGACCUGCCUUGGGACCUGUCCUUUCAGGCUUGAAUUGGAUUUUGGAAAGCAUCGCACAGAAGUUUGUUAACCGUCACUGUGGGGGAUUCCUGCCAGCCACACGACAUCGUGAAGGUGUUAACCUGUCACCUGACUCAGCUGACAUUUGCUCCAGUGUCUUUACAUAUUUGACUCACUUAUCCUGAGCUUUUUUUGUUUUAAUGUGUUUUGGGCUCUGCCUUGUUGCUGUCUUUUUAGAAAAUAAGUUACAAAAUUUGUAUCAUUUUUUUCCCACUUACUUCUCCGAUACCAGAACAGUGUGAAAUACAGUAGACAUUCAAUAAAUACUUGUUCAAUGAA
Peromyscus eremicus (cactus mouse) is the source of this 484-nucleotide long non-coding RNA. RefSeq lists it as uncharacterized. NCBI's taxonomy places the organism in Eukaryota, Metazoa, Chordata, Mammalia, Rodentia, Cricetidae. The transcript is spliced from 3 exons. The record is from RefSeq and is a predicted model, not a curated record.